Molecule: ribosomal RNA, 441 nt
Filed under: uncultured archaeon
Lineage: Archaea
Description: bacterial SSU rRNA
Rfam family: Archaeal small subunit ribosomal RNA
Source: RNAcentral
CGAGUCGAACCUUCCCUGUUGCGGGAGGCGUGGCGUACGGCUCAGUAACACGUAGUCAACCUGCCCUGGAGACAGUAUAACCCCGGGAAACUGGGAUUAAUCCUUGAUAGGUCAUCUCAUCUGGAAGGAGAGAUGGCUUAAAGGGGUGCGAGAGCUUCUUUCUUGUACCCGCUCCAGGAUGGGACUGCGGCCGAUCAGGCUGUUGGUGGGGUAAUGGCCCACCAAACCUGUAACCGGUACGGGCCUUGAGAGAGGGGGCCCGGAGAUGGACACUGAGAGAAGGGUCCAGGUCCUACGGGGCGCAGCAGGCGCGAAACCUUCACAAUGCGCGAAAGCGUGAUGAGGUUAAUCCGAGUGGUCCCCGCUGAGGGGAUCUUUUGUCGGCUGUAAAAGGCCGGUGAAUAAGGGGAGGGGCAGUUUGGUGUCAGCCGCCGCGGGUAA